GCAUUAGACAGAGAUGUUUAUUUCUUCGGACUUCUUACAAGGUGCUGCAUGGUUGUCGUCAGCUCGUGCCGUGAGGUGUCAGGUUAAGUCCUAUAACGAGCGCAACCCCUAUUUUUAGUUGCUAACAGAUUAAGCUGAGGACUCUAAAGAGACUGCCGGUGCAAACCGCGAGGAAGGUGGGGAUGACGUCAAAUCAUCACGGCCCUUACGUCCUGGGCUACACACGUGCUACAAUGGUAAUGAC
Molecule: ribosomal RNA, 244 nt
Filed under: Saccharophagus degradans
Lineage: Bacteria; Pseudomonadati; Pseudomonadota; Gammaproteobacteria; Cellvibrionales; Cellvibrionaceae
Description: partial 16S ribosomal RNA
Rfam family: Bacterial small subunit ribosomal RNA
Source: RNAcentral